AUUGAACGCUGGCGGCACGCCUAACACAUGCAAGUCGAGCGGUAACAUGGGUAGUAGCAAUACUAUUUGAUGACGAGCGGCGGACGUGUAAGGACCAUGUAGGAAUCUGCCUUAACGAGUGGGAUAACCCGAGGAAACUUUGGCUAAUACCGCAUGAACUCGAGAGAGAUAAGCUGCCUGCAAUGGUGGCGCUCUAAGAGGAGCAUGCGUCCGAUUAGCUAGUUGGUGAGGUAAAUGCCCACCAAGGCGAUGAUCGGUAACUGGUCUGAGAGGACGGCCAGUCACACUGGGACUGAGACACGGCCCAGACUCCUACGGGAGGCAGCAGUGGGGAAUCUUGGACAAUGGGGGCAACCCUGAUCCAGCGAUGCCGCGUGGGUGAAGAAGGCCUUCGGGUUGUAAAGCCCUUUAGGCUGGGAAGAAGAUUGGUGGUUUAAGAGACAAUCAAUUUGACUGUACCAGCAGAAUAAGCACCGGCAAACUCUGUGCCAGCAGCCGCCGUAA
Molecule: ribosomal RNA, 504 nt
Filed under: uncultured bacterium
Lineage: Bacteria
Description: partial 16S ribosomal RNA
Rfam family: Bacterial small subunit ribosomal RNA
Source: RNAcentral